Molecule: ribosomal RNA, 1509 nt
Filed under: uncultured Alphaproteobacteria bacterium
Lineage: Bacteria; Pseudomonadati; Pseudomonadota; Alphaproteobacteria
Description: bacterial SSU rRNA
Rfam family: Bacterial small subunit ribosomal RNA
Source: RNAcentral
AGAGUUUGAUCCUGGCUCAGAACGAACGCUGGCGGUAUGCUUAACACAUGCAAGUCGAACGAGAAAGUUUCUUCGGAAACGAGUAAAGUGGCGGACGGGUGAAUAAUGCAUAGGAAUCUGCCCAAUAGUGAGGGACAAGCACUGGAAACGGUGUCUAAUACCACAUAAUAUCCUUCCUUUAAAUGAAAUUUUUUUAAGUUUUAUUUAAAGGAAGGAGAAAGGCUUAGUUCUUCGGAAUUAAGUCGCUAUUGGAUGAGCUUAUGUCGGAUUAGCUUGUUGGUAGGGUAAAGGCCUACCAAGGCGAUGAUCCGUAGCUGAUCUGAGAGGGUGAUCAGCCACACUGGAACUGCGACACGGUCCAGACUCCUACGGGAGGCAGCAGUGGGGAAUAUUGGACAAUGGGCGAAAGCCUGAUCCAGCAAUACCGCGUGAAUGAUGAAGGCCUUAGGGUUGUAAAAUUCUUUCAGUAGGGAAGAUAAUGACGGUACCUAAAGAAGAAGCACCGGCUAACUCCGUGCCAGCAGCCGCGGUAAUACGGAGGGUGCUAGCGUUGUUCGGAAUUAUUGGGCGUAAAGAGUACGUAGGCGGCUUUGUAAGUUAGUUGUGAAAUCCCAGGGCUCAACCCUGGAACUGCAAUUAAAACUACAUGGCUAGAGUAUGAUAGAGGGUGGCGGAAUUCCUAGUGUAGGGGUGAAAUCCGUAGAUAUUAGGAGGAACACCAGCAGUGCAGACGGCUAUCUUGAUCAUUACUGACGCUAAGGUACGAAGGUGUGGGGAGCAAACAGGAUUAGAUACCCUGGUAGUCCACACAGUAAACGAUGAGCACUAAGUGUCUGAAUUUUAGAUUUGGGUGCUGUAGCUAACGCGUUAAGUGCUCCGCCUGGGGAUUACGGCCGCAAGGCUAAAACUCAAAGGAAUUGACGGGGACCCGCACAAGCGGUGGAACAUGUGGUUUAAUUCGAUGCUACGCGAAGAACCUUACCAGCUCUUGACAUUUUGGUUAUCGAAAACGGAGACGUUUUUUUCAGUUCGGCUGGACCAAAACAGGUGUUGCAUGGCUGUCGUCAGCUCGUGCCGUGAGGUGUUAGGUUAAGUCCUUUAACGAGCGCAACCCCCAUCCUUAUUUGCCAUCGGGUAAUGCCGGGAACUAUAAGGAAACUGCCAGUGAUAAAUUGGAGGAAGGUGGGGAUGAUGUCAAGUCAUCAUGGCCCUUAUGGGCUGGGCCACACACAUGUUACAAUGGGAGUUACAAUGAGAUGCAAAAGGGUGACCUGGAGCAAAUCUAUAAAAGCUCUCUCAGUUCAGAUUGUAGGCUGCAACUCGCCUACAUGAAGUUGGAAUCGCUAGUAAUCGUAGAUCAGCACGCUACGGUGAAUACGUUCUCGGGUCUUGUACACACUGCCCGUCAAGCCAUGGAAGUUCUUUUUGCCUGAAUUAGGUGAGCUAACCCGCAAGGGAGGCAUCCUAACACGGUAGGGGGAGUGACUGGGGUUAAGUCGUAACAAGGUA